CCCCCAUAAGAACCCCUAUAAAUAGAGGGCACCCCCCACUCAUUAAAGCAAGUCAUUUGGAGAAGAAGAAUUCCUAGCGAAGCAGAGCUCUGCACACUUGAGUUCCGGUCUGGUUUCCCGCGGAGUUCCCCGCUUGGCGCUUGCUUGCGCGUCUUGGAGUACUGGUCGGGUUUCACCCCCAUCAGUUGGCACCGUCUGUGACUCAAAGAUACUCACGACAAAAGCUCCUCGACUUUUUCGAAAAAAGUGAUCGACUUUUUUCUAAGUCGCCAGCUAGG
This 278-nucleotide long non-coding RNA is filed under the name Zostera marina. Its description in RNAcentral is "long non-coding RNA (ZMAR_LNC003524)". Lineage: Eukaryota; Viridiplantae; Streptophyta; Magnoliopsida; Alismatales; Zosteraceae. The record is from RNAcentral.